AGCAGCCGCGGUAAUUCCAGCUCCAAUAGCGUAUAUUAAAGUUGUUGCAGUUAAAAAGCUCGUAGUUGAAUUUCGAGACCGGCUUACUGGUCGUGCUAUUGUACGUACUGGUAUAAUCGGUUUCUCCUUUCUGACGAACCAUAAUGCCAUUAAUUUGGUGUUAUAGGGAAUCAGGACUGUUACUUUGAAAAAAUUAGAGUGUUUAAAGCAGGCUCACGCUUGAAUACAUUAGCAUGGAAUAACGGAAUAGGACGUUUGAUUCUAUUUUGUUGGUUUCUAGGAUCGACGUAAUGAUUAAUAGGGAUAGUUGGGGGCAUUAGUAUUCAAUUGUCAGAGGUGAAAUUCUUGGAUUUAUUGAAGACUAACUACUGCGAAAGCAUUUGCCAAGGAUGUUUUCAUUAAUCAAGAACGAAAGUUAGGGAUCGAAGACGAUCAGGAUACCGUCGUAGUCUUAACCAUAAACUAUGCCGACUAGGGAUCGGAUGAUGUUAAUUUUUUAAUGACUCAUUCGGCGCCUUAC
RNAcentral lists this ribosomal RNA (520 nucleotides) under uncultured Glomus. Its description in RNAcentral is "SSU rRNA". It matches the Rfam family "Eukaryotic small subunit ribosomal RNA", at positions 569 to 1091 of the family's 1831-position model. The record is from RNAcentral. Lineage: Eukaryota; Fungi; Glomeromycota; Glomeromycetes; Glomerales; Glomeraceae.